GAGGAACCAUGAAUGAGAUAUCAGCAAUGAGGUACCUUCUCACCAGGCAAUGACAACACAUGGGACAACACCCAAACUCCAAUAAACAUCGGAAUAGGGAGGUACAUUCACUGAACUCCACCCUCUAUAAAAAAAAAUCAAGCAAGGGAAAAGAAAAACACACCUUUGAGAAACUGAAAAUUUCAACUGCAAAUUCAAG
Molecule: long non-coding RNA, 199 nt
Organism: Neopelma chrysocephalum (saffron-crested tyrant-manakin)
Lineage: Eukaryota; Metazoa; Chordata; Aves; Passeriformes; Pipridae
Exons: 3
Source: RefSeq, a predicted model, not a curated record